AAACGUUCUCAGGGCGGGGUGCAAUUCCCCACCGGCGGUAAUUGCGCGCAAUGCGCAUAGCCCGCGAGCGCUUGACGCCAUCUGCAGCCUGCCUGCCGGUGAUGCCAAGGUCAGCAGACCCGGUGUGAUCCCGGGGCCGACGGUCAUAGUCCGGAUGAAGAGAGAACGGGA
RNAcentral lists this non-coding RNA (171 nucleotides) under Pseudomonas sp. Its description in RNAcentral is "FMN sequence". It matches the Rfam family "FMN riboswitch aptamer (RFN element)". Rfam says of the family: The RFN element is a highly conserved domain that is found frequently in the 5'-untranslated regions of prokaryotic mRNAs that encode for flavin mononucleotide (FMN) biosynthesis and transport proteins. This element is a metabolite-dependent riboswitch that directly binds FMN in the absence of proteins. The record is from RNAcentral. Lineage: Bacteria; Pseudomonadati; Pseudomonadota; Gammaproteobacteria; Pseudomonadales; Pseudomonadaceae.